UACGUAGGGUGCAAGCGUUGUCCGGAAUUAUUGGGCGUAAAGAGCUCGUAGGCGGUUUGUCGCGUCGGCUGUGAAAACCUGGGGCUCAACCCCGGGCCUGCAGCCGAUACGGGCAAACUAGAAGAUUCGGUAGGGGAGACUGGAAUUCCUGGGUGUAGCGGUGAAAUGCGCAGAUAAUCAGGAGGAACACCGGUGGCGAAGGCGGGUCUCUGGGCCGAUAUUGACGCUGAGGAGCGAAAGCGUGGGGAGCAAACAGGAUUAGAACCGUACGUCAGAC
This 277-nucleotide ribosomal RNA is filed under the name uncultured bacterium. Its description in RNAcentral is "partial 16S ribosomal RNA". It matches the Rfam family "Bacterial small subunit ribosomal RNA", at positions 524 to 795 of the family's 1533-position model. The record is from RNAcentral.